GUCAGAUCCCGGGGUCACGGCACCAAAUUGUUGUGGAUCAGAAUGUUGAUCUUUGUUAUAUUCAGAGGAAGCCCAAAUUGUUGUUACAAGUGCACUUGGAGAAGCGAGAAUUAGACACCAGACACCUGUUGGUAUUCAAAAUAAGCCUCUGACGUUUUAUUCAUCAGCUGGGUUUUAUACAUUAAAAAGUAAGUGCUUACGUGCAAAUACUCUUAGAACAGUAAUAGGAAGAGAGUACAGAUAAGACAUAGGGAUGAGCGUCAUGUACACAUAACAAAUAAGUUUCAAGGCAAGAGAGAACAAAAUGAUUAGAGCAGAGACAUCUUAGGUGGGGGCUCUCUGCUCCCGGAACUUAAACAUAUAUGGUCUUAAGUGUUGUUUAAGCAUCAAGCAUUUCCUGAGUCCAAGUUAGCCAAUUUUAAUAUAGGAUAUCAUUAUAUGACACCUAUAAGCUUGAGCCUUGGAAUCAAGAAAUUCUAUCACACUAUUGUACUCAAGGCUAGGGACCCCAGGCUUAACAAGAAGCUGGCUGUGACGAGACCAAUCUCGCCACAUUGCAUUGGAGAAGCCUGGUUGCUCGCCUGCUGCCUUUGGACUAUGGCCCCCUGUUAAAAGACAUCUUUUUUAACUGCAGAAAAGCUUCAUUCGUGCUUUUCUGCCUGGGGUUCGGUAGAUUUGUUUGAAUGUGUUAUACCCCAGAUAGGAAUCCCAUGGAGCCCAUUCGUAUGAAACUGACUGUAAAG
Pelobates cultripes (western spadefoot toad) is the source of this 743-nucleotide non-coding RNA. Lineage: Eukaryota; Metazoa; Chordata; Amphibia; Anura; Pelobatidae. The record is from the annotation of a GenBank genome assembly.